GAUGAACGCUGGCGGCGUGCUUAACACAUGCAAGUCGAACGAGAAGUGAAGACGGAAACCUUCGGCCGGAAGGCUUUAUUUCUAGUGACGGACGGGUGAGUCACGCGUGGGUAACCUGCCUCCUACAGGGGGAUAACAGUUGGAAACGACUGUUAAUCCCGCAUAAGACCACAGCACCGCAUGGUUCGGGGGUAAAAACUCCGGUGGUAUGAGAUGGACCCGCGUUCGCUUAGCGGGCUGGCGGUGUCACGGCCCACCAAAGCGGCGAUGGAUAGCCGAGCUGAGAGCAGGACAGGUCACGAUGGAACUGAGACACGGACUCAUCUCGGACGGAGGGGAGCAGUAGAGAACACUGCACAAGGGGGGAAACUCUGAUGCAGCGACGCGGCGUGAGUGAAGAAGUAUUUCGGUAAGUAAAGCUGUAUCAGCAGGGACGAAAAUGACGGUACCUGAGUAAGAAGCACCGGCUAACUACGUG
This 478-nucleotide ribosomal RNA is filed under the name uncultured bacterium. RNAcentral describes it as "partial 16S ribosomal RNA". It matches the Rfam family "Bacterial small subunit ribosomal RNA", at positions 28 to 507 of the family's 1533-position model. The record is from RNAcentral.